GUGUCAGCCGCCGCGGUAAGACGUAGGAGGCGAGCGUUAUCCGGAUUCACUGGGCGUAAAGCGCAUGUAGGCGGUUUGAUCCGUCCGAUGUUAAAGCCCCCGGCUCAACUGGGGGAGGUCAUUGGAGACUAUCAGACUUGAGGGCAACAGAGGCACGUGGAACUCCCGGUGUAGCGGUGGAAUGCGUAGAGAUCGGGAAGAACACCCGUGGCGAAGGCGACGUGCUGGGUUGCGACUGACGCUGAGAUGCGAAAGUGUGGGGAGCAAACGGGAUUAGAUACCCGAGUAGUCC
RNAcentral lists this ribosomal RNA (292 nucleotides) under uncultured bacterium. Its description in RNAcentral is "partial 16S ribosomal RNA". It matches the Rfam family "Bacterial small subunit ribosomal RNA", at positions 505 to 796 of the family's 1533-position model. The record is from RNAcentral.